AGAGGGGAACAUUCCAUAAGAUAUUAGACCAUUUUGUAGGAUUAGGAGGUGCAGUUAGCCAGUUUAAGACUCCUAGAUGUGUUGGUCCAAAGAAUAGCUCAUUGCUCCAAAUACUGUCUAGUAAUGUUGUUGAGACCUAUGUUAGUAGUGCCUUCUGUUGAACUAUUUGUAGCUUUCCUGCUAUGUGCCAGUAAUGUUGCUGAGACCUAUGUUAGUACUGCCUUCGGUUGAACUAUUUGUUGCUUUCCUUCUAUGUGCAGCCCUCCUGGGCAUUAUUCUCUUAAUAAUACUUUAAAUUGUAUGAAAAUUGGAG
RNAcentral lists this long non-coding RNA (313 nucleotides) under Nicotiana benthamiana. RNAcentral describes it as "long non-coding RNA (NBEN_LNC035991)". The record is from RNAcentral. Lineage: Eukaryota; Viridiplantae; Streptophyta; Magnoliopsida; Solanales; Solanaceae.